GGUUAAGCGACUAAGCGUACACGGUGGAUGCCCUGGCAGUCAGAGGCGAUGAAGGACGUGCUAAUCUGCGAUAAGCGUCGGUAAGGUGAUAUGAACCGUUAUAACCGGCGAUUUCCGAAUGGGGAAACCCAGUGUGUUUCGACACACUAUCAUUAACUGAAUCCAUAGGUUAAUGAGGCGAACCGGGGGAACUGAAACAUCUAAGUACCCCGAGGAAAAGAAAUCAACCGAGAUUCCCCCAGUAGCGGCGAGCGAACGGGGAGCAGCCCAGAGCCUGAAUCAGUGUGUGUGUUAGUGGAAGCGUCUGGAAAGGCGCGCGAUACAGGGUGACAGCCCCGUACACAAAAAUACACAUACUGUGAGCUCGAUGAGUAGGGCGGGACACGUGGUAUCCUGUCUGAAUAUGGGGGGACCAUCCUCCAAGGCUAAAUACUCCUGACUGACCGAUAGUGAACCAGUACCGUGAGGGAAAGGCGAAAAGAACCCCGGCGAGGGGAGUGAAAAAGAACCUGAAACCGUGUACGUACAAGCAGUGGGAGCACAGAGCAAUCUGUGUGACUGCGUACCUUUUGUAUAAUGGGUCAGCGACUUAUAUUCUGUAGCAAGGUUAACCGAAUAGGGGAGCCGAAGGGAAACCGAGUCUUAACUGGGCGUUAAGUUGCAGGGUAUAGACCCGAAACCCGGUGAUCUAGCCAUGGGCAGGUUGAAGGUUGGGUAACACUAACUGGAGGACCGAACCGACUAAUGUUGAAAAAUUAGCGGAUGACUUGUGGCUGGGGGUGAAAGGCCAAUCAAACCGGGAGAUAGCUGGUUCUCCCCGAAAGCUAUUUAGGUAGCGCCUCGUGAAUUCAUCUCCGGGGGUAGAGCACUGUUUCGGCAAGGGGGUCAUCCCGACUUACCAACCCGAUGCAAACUGCGAAUACCGGAGAAUGUUAUCACGGGAGACACACGGCGGGUGCUAACGUCCGUCGUGAAGAGGGAAACAACCCAGACCGCCAGCUAAGGUCCCAAAGUCAUGGUUAAGUGGGAAACGAUGUGGGAAGGCCCAGACAGCCAGGAUGUUGGCUUAGAAGCAGCCAUCAUUUAAAGAAAGCGUAAUAGCUCACUGGUCGAGUCGGCCUGCGCGGAAGAUGUAACGGGGCUAAACCAUGCACCGAAGCUGCGGCAGCGACGCUGAUGCGUUGUUGGGUAGGGGAGCGUUCUGUAAGCCUGCGAAGGUGUGCUGUGAGGCAUGCUGGAGGUAUCAGAAGUGCGAAUGCUGACAUAAGUAACGAUAAAGCGGGUGAAAAGCCCGCUCGCCGGAAGACCAAGGGUUCCUGUCCAACGUUAAUCGGGGCAGGGUGAGUCGACCCCUAAGGCGAGGCCGAAAGGCGUAGUCGAUGGGAAACAGGUUAAUAUUCCUGUACUUGGUGUUACUGCGAAGGGGGGACGGAGAAGGCUAUGUUGGCCGGGCGACGGUUGUCCCGGUUUAAGCGUGUAGGCUGGUUUUCCAGGCAAAUCCGGAAAAUCAAGGCUGAGGCGUGAUGACGAGGCACUACGGUGCUGAAGCAACAAAUGCCCUGCUUCCAGGAAAAGCCUCUAAGCAUCAGGUAACAUCAAAUCGUACCCCAAACCGACACAGGUGGUCAGGUAGAGAAUACCAAGGCGCUUGAGAGAACUCGGGUGAAGGAACUAGGCAAAAUGGUGCCGUAACUUCGGGAGAAGGCACGCUGAUAUGUAGGUGAAGUCCCUCGCGGAUGGAGCUGAAAUCAGUCGAAGAUACCAGCUGGCUGCAACUGUUUAUUAAAAACACAGCACUGUGCAAACACGAAAGUGGACGUAUACGGUGUGACGCCUGCCCGGUGCCGGAAGGUUAAUUGAUGGGGUCAGCGCAAGCGAAGCUCUUGAUCGAAGCCCCGGUAAACGGCGGCCGUAACUAUAACGGUCCUAAGGUAGCGAAAUUCCUUGUCGGGUAAGUUCCGACCUGCACGAAUGGCGUAAUGAUGGCCAGGCUGUCUCCACCCGAGACUCAGUGAAAUUGAACUCGCUGUGAAGAUGCAGUGUACCCGCGGCAAGACGGAAAGACCCCGUGAACCUUUACUAUAGCUUGACACUGAACAUUGAGCCUUGAUGUGUAGGAUAGGUGGGAGGCUUUGAAGUGUGGACGCCAGUCUGCAUGGAGCCGACCUUGAAAUACCACCCUUUAAUGUUUGAUGUUCUAACGUUGACCCGUAAUCCGGGUUGCGGACAGUGUCUGGUGGGUAGUUUGACUGGGGCGGUCUCCUCCUAAAGAGUAACGGAGGAGCACGAAGGUUGGCUAAUCCUGGUCGGACAUCAGGAGGUUAGUGCAAUGGCAUAAGCCAGCUUGACUGCGAGUGUGACGGCGCGAGCAGGUGCGAAAGCAGGUCAUAGUGAUCCGGUGGUUCUGAAUGGAAGGGCCAUCGCUCAACGGAUAAAAGGUACUCCGGGGAUAACAGGCUGAUACCGCCCAAGAGUUCAUAUCGACGGCGGUGUUUGGCACCUCGAUGUCGGCUCAUCACAUCCUGGGGCUGAAGUAGGUCCCAAGGGUAUGGCUGUUCGCCAUUUAAAGUGGUACGCGAGCUGGGUUUAGAACGUCGUGAGACAGUUCGGUCCCUAUCUGCCGUGGGCGCUGGAGAACUGAGGGGGGCUGCUCCUAGUACGAGAGGACCGGAGUGGACGCAUCACUGGUGUUCGGGUUGUCAUGCCAAUGGCACUGCCCGGUAGCUAAAUGCGGAAGAGAUAAGUGCUGAAAGCAUCUAAGCACGAAACUUGCCCCGAGAUGAGUUCUCCCUGACUCCUUGAGAGUCCUGAAGGAACGUUGAAGACGACGACGUUGAUAGGCCGGGUGUGUAAGCGCAGCGAUGCGUUGAGCUAACCGGUACUAAUGAACCGUGAGGCUUAACCUU
This 2906-nucleotide ribosomal RNA is filed under the name Escherichia coli B171. RNAcentral describes it as "bacterial LSU rRNA". It matches the Rfam family "Bacterial large subunit ribosomal RNA". The record is from RNAcentral. Lineage: Bacteria; Pseudomonadati; Pseudomonadota; Gammaproteobacteria; Enterobacterales; Enterobacteriaceae.